AAGGAGCAACUUUGAUGCAUGGAACAACAGAAUGAGGUCGAUGAAUAAGGUAACUUCUUUUCCUUAAUCUAUUUAAUUUUUUCCUUUUCUAUGCUUAUAUUUAUAUUUAUGUUCAUUGAUUUUAUAUAAAAGAUGUGGGCAUAAGAUCAUGAAUAUUUUAUGAAUUUUGUAAUGCAUUUUCUCUUCAUAUUUGAUGAUUUUUUUCUUGCUUUUCAUUAUAAUUAUUAUCUAAGCUUCUCAACAAACUUAUUUCUAGCACUUUAUUUUAAAGUUUAUAAUACCCAUGUUUCUUCGUUAGUGCUAGAUCUUCCUCACUCUUAUAUGUUUUACAAUUUUGUUUUCAUUUCAUCGUAACUCCCUAUCUACUUAUGUUACAUUUUUGGUCUAGUGCGUUCUCUACUGAAAUGUGUGAGAAGUUCUGUAUUGAAGACAUGCUAUAGGUUAUAAUUCUUCCUUCGAAAUAAUUUACAAUCAUAUUUGUAUUCCAUUUUAACCAAAAAAUAUUUGAUUUUUGUUGUUGAUAGGUUGAUCAUUGUGAGGUUAAAUCUCAUAAAAAGUUCUAUCCAGAUUUUUUCUCAUCUGAGGGAUAAGAAAUGAGGUGUAUGACUGUCGCUCACAAGAAUCAAAUUAUAACAUUUUGGUAAGUUCUAUCUAGUUAAAGUCAAAGGAACUAUUAGGUAUAAAUAUUAUAGUUGAUUAUAUGCGUAUAACGAGACUCAAGUGGUUAUAAUUAGGUUCUUGUUUUAUAAAGCCUUGUUUGCAACAUUUUGGAGAUACCACAACAAAACCACAUUGCAUACAAUUUGAAUGGUAAGUGAAUAUGUUACAACAAAACCAUAUUCUGUAAGUCAAUGUUUGUAUGCAACACGAAAAACAAGAAUAUAUAUUAUAGUACUUUUUGAAGAAAAUGG
This 911-nucleotide long non-coding RNA is filed under the name Lupinus angustifolius (narrow-leaved blue lupine). RNAcentral's name for it is "long non-coding RNA (LANG_LNC002814)". Lineage: Eukaryota; Viridiplantae; Streptophyta; Magnoliopsida; Fabales; Fabaceae. The record is from RNAcentral.